This 1662-nucleotide long non-coding RNA is filed under the name Brachypodium distachyon (stiff brome). Its description in RNAcentral is "long non-coding RNA (BDIS_LNC001402)". Lineage: Eukaryota; Viridiplantae; Streptophyta; Magnoliopsida; Poales; Poaceae. The record is from RNAcentral.
AACCCACAUACGAGAAUGCAUGCAGCCCAGCUGUCCAGGAUGCUCCACCGUCAAAAGAUAGUUGUAGAGCAAUGAGCAGCCCUGGCUUUUUCGCCUCGACAAAGCUUUGGGAGGCUAGAAGCCUGGGAGGCCGGGACACUCAUUGCAACGCUUUGAGGCCAUUGUUGAGCGAAUGCAAAGCCGAAGGAAUUUUCACGGCAUUUGGCCUUUGGAGGAGGCACCCAGCUGUAGCUUUUCCCGACUUUCUGAAGAUUCUCCUCAGUUACGGACAGUAAGAGAUGUCUGCCGCAGGAUGUAAGCAGACAAUUUAUUCCCCCUCGAUCGCUAACUCGCCGCAUAACUAAUGACAGCGCCAAACCAGAUCUUUUAUUAGGAUCAACACUGAAGACUUCAGAAAACUCAAAACAACCAGCUGCCAGACUAGGAGAUCUUAUCCGGGCCGGAUGCGCGCCGGACUUGAGACCUAACGGAUUAACCUGCUCGAGGCCCUGUUUAUCUUAUCUUAUAUAUCCGUCUUCCAGUAAAAAGAUACUGUGGAACGAAGGCGCGACAUCUAACACGGAGUCUUGCUCCCCGGGCAGCAUUUCGGCCAUGCACGAUGGAUGCGUCGGAGUUCGUUUAGCCAACCAGACGAAGUGAUUUUCCUAUCUUCCUUCUCAUCCUUUCUUCAAGGAAUUGAACUUUCUGUUCUCAAGGAACGACAUCGUCGACAUGAAAUGCAGGGAGCCAGGACCAUGGUAACAUUUAAUAUUCGGCAGUGUCAAAAAAGCGGAAUUGCUAGGAAACAGUCGCCUGAGAAUUUGUAAUUCUCAGUCGACAGCGUGGUCCGUCGGAUCCGCGUCGUGAUUCGUGCUGGUACUGUGUACAGACAGCUACGUGGUAAAUAAAGUAAUGACCGACAAUGAACAAGAGCACCUGGUUGGUUCAGUGGUUAGCCGUCUUUCUGCCUAGAUCGUGUGUGCGAAGCCCAUUGACCUUUCUUUUCCUUUUUGUUUUUAUUUUUAUUUUUGGUCCCCUUGACUUUCCUUUGUUUGUACUAUUAUUAUUCUUUCUAUUUUCGACUCCUUUAUUAUUUCUGUUUUCUUAUUUAUUUGCUUUUUUAUCUCUUGAUUCCUCUUUUGCUUAUUUUUUGUUUCCCUUCACUUCCUUUGUUUUCAUCGUGGCUUCUAUUCUGCACUAACCGUAAAAUAGCAAUGCUAGCUAAUUUUCAUCCGCAAUUUUUAGAAUCGUGCAUAAAUUUUCACUACAAUUUUUAGGAUCGCACAAAAAAUUCAUCUGCAAUUUUUUAGAAACACGCAUAAACUUUCACCUGCAAUUUUUUAGAAUCGUGCAUAAACUUUCACCUGCAAUUUUUAAUACCACGCAUUAAAUUUACCUGUAAUUUUUAAAAUUGUACAUAAAUUUUACUUGCAAUUUUUUAAAAUUUGAUCGUUGUUAUAGUUUCAGCCUAAGAAAAAUGCAUAUAAAUAUCCAUGCAAAUUUUGAAGUUGCACACAAAAAUGUCAGUACAAUUGUAAAACUUUCACCAACAAUUUUUUAAAAAUUUCAAGUGCAAUUUUUAUAAAUACACUUAAAAUUUCACGUUGGCAGACACACGCACAGAUACACGCGUACGCACAAAUGAACGCACACACUGACUGAACACACAGCGGACACACACAC